UACGUAGGGUGCGAGCGUUAAUCGGAAUUACUGGGCGUAAAGCGUGCGCAGGCGGUUUUGUAAGCCAGAUGUGAAAUCCCCGGGCUUAACCUGGGAAUGGCAUUUGGGACUGCAAGGCUUGAGUGCGGCAGAGGAGACUGGAAUUCCUGGUGUAGCAGUGAAAUGCGUGGAGAUGUGGAGGAACACCGAUGGCGAAGGCAGCCUCCUGGGCCAGCGCUGACGCUCAUGCACGAAAGCGUGGGGAGCAAACAGG
This 253-nucleotide ribosomal RNA is filed under the name uncultured bacterium. RNAcentral's name for it is "partial 16S ribosomal RNA". It matches the Rfam family "Bacterial small subunit ribosomal RNA", at positions 524 to 776 of the family's 1533-position model. The record is from RNAcentral.